RNAcentral lists this non-coding RNA (27 nucleotides) under Homo sapiens (human). The record is from RNAcentral. Lineage: Eukaryota; Metazoa; Chordata; Mammalia; Primates; Hominidae.
UAAGGUGAAAGGAAAACUCGGCCAUUC